AUUGAACGCUGGCGGCAGGCCUAACACAUGCAAGUCGAGCGGAUGAAGGGAGCUUGCUCCUGGAUUCAGCGGCGGACGGGUGAGUAAUGCCUAGGAAUCUGCCUGGUAGUGGGGGAUAACGUCCGGAAACGGGCGCUAAUACCGCAUACGUCCUGAGGGAGAAAGUGGGGGAUCUUCGGACCUCACGCUAUCAGAUGAGCCUAGGUCGGAUUAGCUAGUUGGUGGGGUAAAGGCCUACCAAGGCGACGAUCCGUAACUGGUCUGAGAGGAUGAUCAGUCACACUGGAACUGAGACACGGUCCAGACUCCUACGGGAGGCAGCAGUGGGGAAUAUUGGACAAUGGGCGAAAGCCUGAUCCAGCCAUGCCGCGUGUGUGAAGAAGGUCUUCGGAUUGUAUAGCACUUUAAGUUGGGAGGAAGGGCAGUAAGUUAAUACCUUGCUGUUUUGACGUUACCAACAGAAUAAGCACCGGCUAACUUCGCG
This 484-nucleotide ribosomal RNA is filed under the name uncultured bacterium. Its description in RNAcentral is "partial 16S ribosomal RNA". It matches the Rfam family "Bacterial small subunit ribosomal RNA", at positions 30 to 507 of the family's 1533-position model. The record is from RNAcentral.